This 76-nucleotide transfer RNA is filed under the name Magnetococcales bacterium. Its description in RNAcentral is "tRNA-Thr". It matches the Rfam family "tRNA". Rfam says of the family: Transfer RNA (tRNA) molecules are approximately 80 nucleotides in length. Their secondary structure includes four short double-helical elements and three loops (D, anti-codon, and T loops). The record is from RNAcentral. Lineage: Bacteria; Pseudomonadati; Pseudomonadota; Magnetococcia; Magnetococcales.
GCUGGCGUAGCUCAAUCGGUAGAGCAGCUGAUUUGUAAUCAGCCGGUUGAGGGUUCGACUCCCUCCGCUAGCUCCA